This 1017-nucleotide ribosomal RNA is filed under the name uncultured organism. RNAcentral describes it as "bacterial SSU rRNA". It matches the Rfam family "Bacterial small subunit ribosomal RNA", at positions 355 to 1375 of the family's 1533-position model. The record is from RNAcentral.
UGAGGAAUAUUGGUCAAUGGACGAGAGUCUGAACCAGCCAAGUAGCGUGAAGGAUGACUGCCCUAUGGGUUGUAAACUUCUUUUAUACGGGAAUAAAGUUAGCCACGUGUGGCUUUUUGUAUGUACCGUAUGAAUAAGGAUCGGCUAACUCCGUGCCAGCAGCCGCGGUAAUACGGAGGAUCCGAGCGUUAUCCGGAUUUAUUGGGUUUAAAGGGAGCGUAGGCGGGUUGUUAAGUCAGUUGUGAAAGUUUGCGGCUCAACCGUAAAAUUGCAGUUGAUACUGGCGACCUUGAGUGCAACAGAGGUAGGCGGAAUUCGUGGUGUAGCGGUGAAAUGCUUAGAUAUCACGAAGAACUCCGAUUGCGAAGGCAGCUUACUGGAUUGUAACUGACGCUGAUGCUCGAAAGUGUGGGUAUCAAACAGGAUUAGAUACCCUGGUAGUCCACACAGUAAACGAUGAAUACUCGCUGUUGGCGAUAUACGGUCAGCGGCCAAGCGAAAGCAUUAAGUAUUCCACCUGGGGAGUACGCCGGCAACGGUGAAACUCAAAGGAAUUGACGGGGGCCCGCACAAGCGGAGGAACAUGUGGUUUAAUUCGAUGAUACGCGAGGAACCUUACCCGGGCUUAAAUUGCAACUGACUGAACCGGAAACGGUUCCUUCUUCGGACAGUUGUGAAGGUGCUGCAUAGUUGUCGUCAGCUCGUGCCGUGAGGUGUCGGCUUAAGUGCCAUAACGAGCGCAACCCUUAUCGAUAGUUACUAGCAGGUCAUGCUGAGGACUCUAUUGAGACUGCCGUCGUAAGAUGUGAGGAAGGUGGGGAUGACGUCAAAUCAGCACGGCCCUUACGUCCGGGGCUACACACGUGUUACAAUGGGGGGUACAGAAGGCAGCUACACGGCGACGUGGUGCUAAUCCCGAAAGCCUCUCUCAGUUCGGAUUGGAGUCUGCAACCCGACUCCAUGAAGCUGGAUUCGCUAGUAAUCGCGCAUCAGCCACGGCGCGGUGAAUACGUUCCC